AUUGAACGCUGGCGGCAGGCCUAACACAUGCAAGUCGAAUGGUAACAGGAAACAGCUUGCUGUUUCGCUGACGAGUGGCGGACGGGUGAGUAAUGUCUGGGAAACUGCCUGAUGGAGGGGGAUAACUACUGGAAACGGUAGCUAAUACCGCAUAACGUCGCAAGACCAAAGAGGGGGACCUUCGGGCCUCUUGCCAUCAGAUGUGCCCAGAUGGGAUUAGCUAGUAGGUGGGGUAACGGCUCACCUAGGCGACGAUCCCUAGCUGGUCUGAGAGGAUGACCAGCCACACUGGAACUGAGACACGGUCCAGACUCCUACGGGAGGCAGCAGUGGGGAAUAUUGCACAAUGGGCGCAAGCCUGAUGCAGCCAUGCCGCGUGUAUGAAGAAGGCCUUCGGGUUGUAAAGUACUUUCAGCGGGGAGGAAGGGAGUAAAGUUAAUACCUUUGCUCAUUGACGUUACCCGCAGAAGAAGCACCGGCUAACUCCGUGCCAGCAGCCGCGGUAAUACGGAGGGUGCAAGCGUUAAUCGGAAUUACUGGGCGUAAAGCGCACGCAGGCGGUUUGUUAAGUCAGAUGUGAAAUCCCCGGGCUCAACCUGGGAACUGCAUCUGAUACUGGCAAGCUUGAGUCUCGUAGAGGGGGGUAGAAUUCCAGGUGUAGCGGUGAAAUGCG
RNAcentral lists this ribosomal RNA (673 nucleotides) under uncultured Pseudomonadota bacterium. Its description in RNAcentral is "bacterial SSU rRNA". It matches the Rfam family "Bacterial small subunit ribosomal RNA", at positions 28 to 690 of the family's 1533-position model. The record is from RNAcentral. Lineage: Bacteria; Pseudomonadati; Pseudomonadota.